Molecule: long non-coding RNA, 1328 nt
Organism: Portunus trituberculatus (swimming crab)
Lineage: Eukaryota; Metazoa; Arthropoda; Malacostraca; Decapoda; Portunidae
Exons: 3
Source: RefSeq, a predicted model, not a curated record
UCCCAGAAACAGUGGGCACACCACACACAGAGAGUGGAGUGUAUAGACACCCUUAAAACCACUAGAUUGCGCCCUCUCUGGGGUGUACCCUUUUGGCCUAGGUAUAUAGAUGGAUGGAUUGUAACAAACUAAUGAAAAAAAGUAAAAAAGAUAAGAAAAAACAUGGAAGGGCAAUUUAACCUAAACCUAUCGGAAUUAUUAAACGCUUCAUAUCAGUCAGUAUCUAUGAUGCAUUUGUGUGUUCCAUUGUGUGAAGCAUAUAUGUAUGUAUGCAUAUAUGUCAAAACUGAUUUACAACUGUCUCAACUUUAUUCCUAAAAAUGCUCCAGAAUGCCAGUUUUCCGUAUUUGGUGUGCUGAUCGCAUCAUAAGGAAAUCGGUUGUGUCAGUAGCAGAAAUUGAAGAACUAAAGAAAAAAAGCAACACAAAAACUCGGUUUGGAGUUGGUAGGACCUACGAAGUUAGUUCUAGAGAAAUGUGGUACAGAAGUGGACGACGAUGAGGUGUUGGAAGAAAUUGCUGAUGAAGUCUUACUAUUGUUGGCUGAUGGAGAAACUUAUACACCAUCUGUAGCUCAGCAAAUACCUGACUCUACUCGAAGUUUGGUAACAUGUACUACAGGCGAUGUACUUCAACCCAGCAGGAGUGCAAGUGACAACGAAAAGGCAAGCACAAGUUCAAGUGAGACAGAGGCAUAUGCCAGUCACAAAUCAUGUAACACAUUAUCAUUGCCUCUGCCAGAACUCUCACGGGCAACCCGAGAUGACUUACAACAGGGAGAUAAAUCAAGACGGGUCUUGUUGCAGCUGAUAGAAGAAUCCAAGAACUACUACAUGAAGUAUUGCCCUCUGCUUGAUGAAAACCCUUAAGCUACGGUUACACUAGCCACUGCUACCCCUGGGCCCAGCCUUGGGCCUGGGACGGAGGCCAGCCUUAUGCCUGGAUUUACAAGGCAAGUGGUUACACACAGCCCAGCCCCAGUCCUGGGCACUCUUGAUCUUGAUUUUGAUACUUGGUGCGCCGAUCUAAACAAAGCGCAUCAGACCUCAAGAUGGCUUUUCUAGGAGACUAUAUAUGGCCUCUUGUGGCCACGCAAUGGACUUUUCAACAAAAGCCAUGUUUAAAACCUUGCCCUGCAGCGUGUGUUUGUUUACAUCUGAGGAUUUCCCAGGUCAAGCGAGGGAUGAUGUUUUCUAAUAAUUUGUGUGCAGCUAAUUAUAACUAAUCAUGCAUGAAAAUAAAUAAAUUGCAUAUAUAGUGAUAUAAUAUCUAGAUAUUUUAUUAUUUAGGAAAAUUUGGGUUUAGUUGUUUGCGUGAAUAAUAUAGUCU